RNAcentral lists this ribosomal RNA (648 nucleotides) under uncultured Sebacinaceae. RNAcentral's name for it is "eukaryotic LSU rRNA". The stretch from base 215 to 368 matches the Rfam family "5.8S ribosomal RNA". The record is from RNAcentral. Lineage: Eukaryota; Fungi; Basidiomycota; Agaricomycetes; Sebacinales; Sebacinaceae.
AAAGUCGUAACAAGGUUUCCGUAGGUGAACCUGCGGAAGGAUCAUUAUUGAUUGUGAAUCGUUGCCUCCAGUGCUGGCUCUCGCAAGUGCACGGUUGGUGACUUUCAUCCAACACCCUGUGAACCCUUGGCCUCUUGCUAGCUUCGGCUGGCAGAGGAUUUUUACACACACUCGAAUGUAAUGAAAUUAUUGUCGUGCGCAAGCACUUAUGUACAACUUUCAACAACGGAUCUCUUGGCUCUCGCAUCGAUGAAGAACGCAGCGAAAUGCGAUAAGUAAUGUGAAUUGCAGAAUUCAGUGAAUCAUCGAAUCUUUGAACGCACCUUGCACCCUUUGGCAUUCCGAAGGGUAUGCUCGUUUGAGUGUCAUUGUACUCUCACACUUCUGAUCCUUUGGAUCUGGAGCGGUGGACUUGGGUGUUGCCACUUGACGGUGGCUCACCUCGAAUGCAUUCGUGCAACUCCUGGUUGGACCAUAGUACGGCGUGAUAAGUGUCUUCGCCGGCACCUCGUGAGAGGGUGGCCGAUCGAGAGCUCUGUGCUUUCAAACCGUCCUUGCAAGGACAAUGACUGACAACUUGACCUCAAAUCGAGUAGGACUACCCGCUGAACUUAAGCAUAUCAAUAAGCGGAGGAAAAGAAACUAACA